Cebus imitator (Panamanian white-faced capuchin) is the source of this 505-nucleotide long non-coding RNA. RefSeq lists it as uncharacterized. The transcript has 3 exons. NCBI's taxonomy places the organism in Eukaryota, Metazoa, Chordata, Mammalia, Primates, Cebidae. The record is from RefSeq and is a predicted model, not a curated record.
UUCACAAAGCUCCUAACUGGUAGCAGUGAAGCUGGUGAAAUUGCUGCAGUCUUUGCUGGCCAUUCCACUCAUCACCACAGCCUCUGUAAUGAGGGCAUGGAGUGAGUGGAUUUCAAAAUCUCUUCAACUCUAAGUUACCCACCAGGAGUCCAAGGAGGAAGGAGUGAAGGGUGGUGGCAGGGCAGCCUUCUUAGACCAAAGUCUCCAGAAGUCAGGGCGGAGGCACAGGGCCGGUGCCUGAGACUGGCUGCUGCUGAGAGCUUGGCACUGGACAGAGAUAAACCCCACAGUCACCAGAGAGAGGAGGAGUCAGGAUUUGAACUCAGUUCCAUCCAAAAGCCAUACUCUUUGUAAUCUACAUGUUGCUCUUCAGUCUGUGGCCUCUCUGGAUUGACAUUACCAAAGCGGCAUGUGACUACAAACUCAGCAACCACAAGGACAGAAACUGCCUGAGGGAUGCGUGGGGCCAAAACAUCCACCUGCUUCUGGUGUUUUUCUUUGGGAU